RNAcentral lists this ribosomal RNA (253 nucleotides) under uncultured microorganism. Its description in RNAcentral is "partial 16S ribosomal RNA". It matches the Rfam family "Bacterial small subunit ribosomal RNA", at positions 524 to 776 of the family's 1533-position model. The record is from RNAcentral.
UACGUAGGGUGCGAGCGUUAAUCGGAUUUACUGGGCGUAAAGCGUGCGCAGGCGGUUUGUUAAGCGAGAUGUGAAAGCCCCGGGCUCAACCUAGGAAUUGCGCUUGUGACUGGCGGGCUCGAGUACGGUAGAGGGGGGUGGAAUUCCUGGUGUAGCAGUGAAAUGCGUAGAGAUCAGGAGGAACACCGAUGGCGAAGGCAGCCCCCUGGGCCUGUACUGACGCUCAUGCACGAAAGCGUGGGGAGCAAACAGG